CAGGUGUUGCAUGGCUGUCGUCAGCUCGUGUCGUGAGAUGUCGGUUAAGUCCGCUAACGAGCGCAAACCCUCGUCGUAUGUUAUAUGUGUCAUACGAGACUGCCGGUAAAAGCCGGAGGAAGGUGAGGAUGAUGUCAAGGUCAGCAUGACCUUUAUAUCCAGGGCUACACACACGCUACAAUGGUCUGUACAAUGGGUAGCCAAGCCGCGAGGCGGAGCCAAUCCUGAAAAGCAGGCCUCAGUUCAGAUUGCAGUCUGCAACUCGACUGCAUGAAGCCGGAGUUGCUAGUAACCGCAGGUCAGCAAUACUGCGGUCGAAUACGUUCCCGGGCCUU
RNAcentral lists this ribosomal RNA (335 nucleotides) under uncultured Anaerolineaceae bacterium. Its description in RNAcentral is "bacterial SSU rRNA". It matches the Rfam family "Bacterial small subunit ribosomal RNA", at positions 1035 to 1382 of the family's 1533-position model. Lineage: Bacteria; Bacillati; Chloroflexota; Anaerolineae; Anaerolineales; Anaerolineaceae. The record is from RNAcentral.